AAGUCAGCAUGGCCUUUAUAUCCCUGGGCUACACACACGCUACAAUGGCCAACACAAUAGGUUGCUAAGCCGCGAGGUGGCGCCAAUCCAUAAAGUUGGUCUCAGUUCAGAUUGUAGGCUGCAACCCGCCUGCAUGAAGAUGGAGUUGCUAGUAACCGCAGGUCAGCUAUACUGCGGUGAAUACGUUCCCGGGGCCGUU
This 199-nucleotide ribosomal RNA is filed under the name uncultured Leptolinea sp. Its description in RNAcentral is "partial 16S ribosomal RNA". It matches the Rfam family "Bacterial small subunit ribosomal RNA", at positions 1187 to 1380 of the family's 1533-position model. The record is from RNAcentral. Lineage: Bacteria; Bacillati; Chloroflexota; Anaerolineae; Anaerolineales; Anaerolineaceae.